GAGAGCUCCUUUAGCAAACCAACAAAGGGCAACUGUCAACUUGCUCCUUCUAGAAAUCUUUCUCUUCACAAUUGCUUGCACCUCACUAAGUAUCCUUCACCACCCUGCCUCAUCUCAAGUCACCUUUAAAGAAAAUGAGAAAUCAGCUCCAGAUAGAUAAAGGAUCAAUAAUAAACAAUUUUUUGACUUUACUGAAGGAUAGAGGAAAACAGGGGUGCCUGGGUGGCUCUGUCAGUUGAGUGUCCAACUUGAUUUUGGCUUAGGUCAUGAUCCCAGGGUUGUGGGAUUAAGCCUUGAGUCGGGCUCUGUGCUGAGCAUGGAGCCUGUUUAAGAUUCUCUCUCUCUCUCUCUCUCUCUCUCUCUCUCCAUAUGUGUGUGUAUACAUAUAUAUAUGUAUAUAUAUAUGAUAUAUAUAUGUUAAAAAAAAAAAAAGAAUAGAGAAAACAAUCCCAGAUGCUGUUGGAGCCAUUUGUGAUAACUAAUACAAGGAUUCUAUCAUCAGAAACAAGAAGACUGAAUACAA
RNAcentral lists this long non-coding RNA (523 nucleotides) under Lynx pardinus (Iberian lynx). The record is from RNAcentral. Lineage: Eukaryota; Metazoa; Chordata; Mammalia; Carnivora; Felidae.